AGAAUCAACGCUGGCGGCGUGCCUAACACAUGCAAGUCGAACGAGAAAGUGGAGCAAUCCAUGAGUAAAGUGGCGCACGGGUGAGUAACACGUGACUAACCUACCCUGGAGUGGGGAAUAACUGAGGGAAACCUUAGCUAAUACCGCAUAACACCUACGGGUCAAAGGAGCAAUUCGCUUCAGGAGGGGGUCGCGGCAGAUUAGCUAGUUGGCGGGGUAAUGGCCCACCAAGGCAGUGAUCUGUAUCCGGCCUGAGAGGGCGCACGGACACACUGGAACUGAAACACGGUCCAGACUCCUACGGGAGGCAGCAGUGGGGAAUUUUGCGCAAUGGGGGAAACCCUGACGCAGCAACGCCGCGUGGAGGAUGAAGUCCCUUGGGACGUAAACUCCUUUCGAUCGGGACGAUUAUGACGGUACCGGAAGAAGAAGCCCCGGCUAACUUCGUGCCAGCAGCCGC
This 460-nucleotide ribosomal RNA is filed under the name uncultured bacterium. RNAcentral describes it as "SSU rRNA". It matches the Rfam family "Bacterial small subunit ribosomal RNA", at positions 26 to 518 of the family's 1533-position model. The record is from RNAcentral.